This 538-nucleotide ribosomal RNA is filed under the name uncultured Rhodobacter sp. RNAcentral describes it as "bacterial SSU rRNA". It matches the Rfam family "Bacterial small subunit ribosomal RNA", at positions 505 to 1041 of the family's 1533-position model. The record is from RNAcentral. Lineage: Bacteria; Pseudomonadati; Pseudomonadota; Alphaproteobacteria; Rhodobacterales.
GUGCCAGCAGCUGCGGUAAUACGGAGGGGGCUAGCGUUGUUCGGAAUUACUGGGCGUAAAGCGCACGUAGGCGGACCAGAAAGUUGGGGGUGAAAUCCCGGGGCUCAACCCCGGAACUGCCUUCAAAACUCCUGGUCUUGAGGUCGAGAGAGGUGAGUGGAAUUCCGAGUGUAGAGGUGAAAUUCGUAGAUAUUCGGAGGAACACCAGUGGCGAAGGCGGCUCACUGGCUCGAUACUGACGCUGAGGUGCGAAAGCGUGGGGAGCAAACAGGAUUAGAUACCCCUGGUAGUCCACGCCGUAAACGAUGAAUGCCAGUCGUCGGGUUGCAUGCAAUUCGGUGACACACCUAACGGAUUAAGCAUUCCGCCUGGGGAGUACGGUCGCAAGAUUAAAACUCAAAGGAAUUGACGGGGCCCGCACAAGCGGUGGAGCAUGUGGUUAAUUCGAAGCAACGCGCAGAACCUUACAACCCUUGACAUCGAGAUCGCGGUUACCAGAGAUGGUUUCCUCGAGUUCGGCUGGAUCUCAGACAGGUCG